Molecule: non-coding RNA, 363 nt
Organism: Motacilla alba alba
Lineage: Eukaryota; Metazoa; Chordata; Aves; Passeriformes; Motacillidae
Source: the annotation of a RefSeq genome assembly
AUGUUUGUGGAUGGGGGAGCGGCCGUGACCCUGCUAGAGUCUGGGGGGGACCUCCAGCCCCCCGGGGGGUCCCUGCGCCUCCUCUGCCGUGGCUCCAGGUUCAAUUUUGGACAAUUUGCCAUGCACUGGGUCCGCCAGAGACCCGGGAAGGCGCUGGAAUACGUUGCAAGUAUCAACAACGAUGGUGGCAACACCUGGUACCCGCCAUCGGUCAAGGGCCGGUUCAGGAUCUCCAGGGACAACGGGCAGAGCUCGGUGACGCUGACCAUGAGCAGCCUCAGGGACGAGGAUUCCGCCGUCUAUUUCUGUGCCAAAUCUGCUGAUGCUAAUAUUGCUGGCGCUGCUGUUGUCACUGCAAAAUAG